UAUGCGGGGUAUACUCUUACCCCUUUUCCAUCUCCGUAUUCACUGUUCAAAGAAUCCAUCCAUUUCCAACAGCUUCCCCAUCACUGCGCUUUCUGUUUCGCAAGUUUGAAGCAUUUUAGCUCGAAUAGUCCAUAUAUCACAGCUCAACGAUUAUUCUAGUGAAGCGCAAGAACGUAUGGUCGUAUGGCUGAUGUCGUUGGAUUUUCAUCAGAGAAGAGCUCUCCAACAAAUGAAGGCAACCGGUUAACUCUCUAGGCAUUGAUGAAGGCAACCGGUUAACUCUCUAACCAUUGAUGACGGAAUUGGCGCCAAAAUUUGUGGCCAUUUGGGUUUUGCUUUAUUAUAUAUAAAGAUUUCUCUCAUACGAUGUCCAGUUGAGGUGAUUCAAGCCGCUACAGAAAGCUAAGAGAUUAAGUGAGUGUUCUAUAACUUUUUAUGAUAAAAGUUUUCUCAAAUUUGAAACGCAACACGUCUAAAAUUAAACCCGAAGUUCGAUGCGUCAAGCUAGCGACACGACGGUGACACGCCCAUGUAUGUCGCAUGGGCGCCUUUUCUAUGCAGAAGUAUACAGGUCCAUGACACAACCAUGUUUUGUGGACAAGUCACGGUCAAUGUAUGACGCAUGAAUGAAGUAUUUAAGCUCGUUUUUUGGAUCUUUUUGAGGACUUUUCGAUCGUAGACUUCAAGAAACGUUACAAGACACUUUUUGAAGCUUCAAUCACUAAUUAGUAUCUCACGGGUCUCAAUCCGUCAGACGGGUCAGAUCUUUGAUGAAUGUAUCAGAUCUUUAACCUCAUUAAUCAAAAAUCUGACCCAUCUUUCGGAUUGAGACUCGUGGGACGAUCUCGAUCACACAAGUUUUUGCCCAUGAGAAUAUAGAAAAAAAAAAAGUGGUAGUAUUUCAUUACCCAACCCUACAAAGUACACUUUGCAAAUUAAAUGCAUUAUGUAGUGUUGUUAAGUGUGAUAUCACAUAAACUUAAAACAUGCACUUACCAACACUACAAAGUGUACUUUUUAGAAGAAUUUUAAAGUAUAUUUUUGCAACACUAUAGAGUGCUCUUUCAUAUAACAAUGGAUGCAUACUGCAUGUGCAACAUUUUUCAUUAAGACAUGCAUAUAGUUGUGGUGCAAGUUAUUGUGGCUAUUAAGUUGUAACAUUAAGUUUGUAACUGAAAUAACGAUUUUCAUUACAAUUAAUAGCCUAUAAUGAUAGCA
Long non-coding RNA from Ipomoea triloba (trilobed morning glory), 1218 nucleotides. RefSeq lists it as uncharacterized. NCBI's taxonomy places the organism in Eukaryota, Viridiplantae, Streptophyta, Magnoliopsida, Solanales, Convolvulaceae. The transcript is spliced from 3 exons. The record is from RefSeq and is a predicted model, not a curated record.